AAACUUCACAAUGGAGGCAACUCCGAUGAGGGAAUUCCAAGUGCUAGCACAUUAGUGUUAGCUUUUCUUAAGCAUAGAUAACUUAAGGAAUAAGGGCUGGGUAAGACGGGUGCCAGCCGCCGCGGUAAUACCCGCAGCCCAAGUGGUGGUCGAUUUUAUUGAGUCUAAAACGUUCGUAGCCGGUUCAUUAAAUCCUUGGGUAAAUCGGAUGGCUUAACUAUCCGAAUUCCGGGGAGACUGGUGAACUUGGGACCGGGAGAGGCAAGAGGUACUUUUGGGGUAGGGGUAAAAUCCUGUAAUCCUAAAAGGACCACCGGUGGCGAAGGCGUCUUGCUAGAACGGAUCCGACGGUGAGGGACGAAGCCCUGGGUCGCAAACGGGAUUAGAUACCCCGGUAGUCCAGGGUGUAAACGCUGCAGACUUGGUGUUGGGACCCUUCGGGGUGUUCAGUGCCGGAGAGAAGUUGUUAAGUCUGCUACUUGGGGAGUACGUCCGCAAGGAUGAAACUUAAAGGAAUU
This 518-nucleotide ribosomal RNA is filed under the name uncultured bacterium. Its description in RNAcentral is "bacterial SSU rRNA". It matches the Rfam family "Archaeal small subunit ribosomal RNA", at positions 345 to 866 of the family's 1478-position model. The record is from RNAcentral.